GGCGGCAUGCCUAAUACAUGCAAGUCGAGCGGAGUUGUUUUGAAAGCUUGCUUUCAAAACAACUUAGCGGCGGACGGGUGAGUAACACGUAGGUAACCUGCCUGUAAGACUGGGAUAACUACCGGAAACGGUAGCUAAUACCGGAUAAUUUGUUUCUUCUCAUGAAGAGACACUGAAAGGCGGAGUAAUCUGCCACUUAUAGAUGGGCCUGCGGCGCAUUAGCUAGUUGGUGAGGUAACGGCUCACCAAGGCGACGAUGCGUAGCCGACCUGAGAGGGUGAACGGCCACACUGGGACUGAGACACGGCCCAGACUCCUACGGGAGGCAGCAGUAGGGAAUCUUCCGCAAUGGACGAAAGUCUGACGGAGCAAUGCCGCGUGAGUGAUGAAGGUUUUCGGAUCGUAAAGCUCUGUUGCCAGGGAAGAACGCUUGGGAGAGUAACUGCUCUCAAGGUGACGGUACCUGAGAAGAAAGCCCCGGCUAACUACGUGCCAGCAGCCGCGGUAAUACGUA
RNAcentral lists this ribosomal RNA (514 nucleotides) under forest soil bacterium 5H2.D7. Its description in RNAcentral is "bacterial SSU rRNA". It matches the Rfam family "Bacterial small subunit ribosomal RNA", at positions 38 to 529 of the family's 1533-position model. The record is from RNAcentral.